UGCACGCACUACUGUAAGUUGUUUUGGAUAAAAGCAUCUGCUAAAAUGGCAUAUA
This is a non-coding RNA of Salmo salar (Atlantic salmon), 55 nucleotides long. The record is from Rfam. NCBI's taxonomy places the organism in Eukaryota, Metazoa, Chordata, Actinopteri, Salmoniformes, Salmonidae.